Molecule: ribosomal RNA, 223 nt
Filed under: uncultured bacterium
Lineage: Bacteria
Description: partial 16S ribosomal RNA
Rfam family: Bacterial small subunit ribosomal RNA
Source: RNAcentral
ACGCUCGACACCUACGGGAGGGCAGCAGUAGGGAAUCUUCCACAAUGGACGCAAGUCUGAUGGAGCAACGCCGCGUGAGUGAAGAAGGUCUUCGGAUCGUAAAACUCUGUUGUUAGAGAAGAACACGAGUGAGAGUAACUGUUCAUUCGAUGACGGUAUCUAACCAGCAAGUCACGGCUAACUACGUGCAGCAGCCGCGGUAAUCUGAGCGGGCUGGCAAGGC